GACGAACGCUGGCGGCGUGCUUGACACAUGCAAGUCGAACGGAAAGGCCUGCUUUCCCUUGUGGAUUGCGGGUACUCGAGUGGCGAACGGGUGAGUAACACGUGAGUGAUCUGCCCCCAACUUGGGUAUAAGCCUGGGAAACUGGGUCUAAUUCCCGAUAGGACUGCAGGGUGGUGCCUGUGGUGGAAAACGAUUUUCUAGUGGUUGGGGAUGAGCUCGCGGCCUAUCAGCUUGUUGGUGGGGUAAUGGCCUACCAAGGCGGCGACGGGUAGCCGGCCUGGGAGGGUGGACGGCAACAGUGGGACUGAGAUACGGCCCAGACUACUACGGGAGGCAGCAGUGGGGAAUAGUGCACAAUGGGCGGAAGCCUGAUGCAGCGACGCCGCGUGGGGGAUGACGGCCUUCGGGUUGUAAACUCCUUGCGACCGCGAGGAAGCCACCUGGUUGGAAGGGUGGUGACGGUAGUGGUAGAAGAAGCACCGGCUAACUACGUG
Molecule: ribosomal RNA, 494 nt
Filed under: uncultured bacterium
Lineage: Bacteria
Description: partial 16S ribosomal RNA
Rfam family: Bacterial small subunit ribosomal RNA
Source: RNAcentral